CGAGCCUAUCCUUGACCGACAGGUCCGGGUAAUCUUUGAAACUGCAUCGUGAUGGGGAUAGAUUAUUGCAAUUAUUAAUCUUCAACGAGGAAUGCCUAGUAAGCGCGAGUCAUCAGCUCGCGUUGAUUACGUCCCUGCCCUUUGUACACACCGCCCGUCGCUCCUACCGAUUGGAUGUGCUGGUGAAGUGUUCGGAUUGGCGGCAGUGGGCGGUUCGCCGCUUGCUGCAGCCGAGAAGUUCUCUAAACCCUCCCAUCUAGAGGAAGGAGAAGUCGUAACAAGGUUUCCGUAGGUGAACCUGCGGAAGGAUCAUUG
RNAcentral lists this ribosomal RNA (315 nucleotides) under Myrmecia israelensis. Its description in RNAcentral is "SSU rRNA". It matches the Rfam family "Eukaryotic small subunit ribosomal RNA", at positions 1516 to 1831 of the family's 1831-position model. Lineage: Eukaryota; Viridiplantae; Chlorophyta; Trebouxiophyceae; Trebouxiales; Trebouxiaceae. The record is from RNAcentral.